Molecule: ribosomal RNA, 494 nt
Filed under: bacterium A4F6
Lineage: Bacteria
Description: bacterial SSU rRNA
Rfam family: Bacterial small subunit ribosomal RNA
Source: RNAcentral
AAUGGGCGAAGCCUGACGCAGCACGCCGCGUGGAGGAUGAAGGCUCUCGGGUUGUAAACUCCUUUCAGCAGGGAAGAAAUUGACGGUACCUGCAGAAGAAGCACCGGCCAACUACGUGCCAGCAGCCGCGGUAAUACGCAGGGUGCAAGCGUUGUCCGGAUUCAUUGGGCGUAAAGAGCUCGUAGGCGGCUUGGCAAGUCAGAUGUGAAACCCUCAGGCUCAACCUGGGGAUGCCAUCUGAUACUGCUAUGGCUAGAGUAUGGUAGGGGACUACGGAAUUCCUGGUGUAGCGGUGAAAUGCGCAGAUAUCAGGAGGAACACCAGUGGCGAAGGCGGUAGUCUGGGCCAUUACUGACGCUGAGGAGCGAAAGCGUGGGGAGCGAACAGGAUUAGAUACCCUGGUAGUCCACGCCGUAAACGUUGGGCACUAGGUGUGGGGUCUAUUUCGACGGACUCCGUGCCGUAGCUAACGCAUUAAGUGCCCCGCCUGGGGA